This 548-nucleotide ribosomal RNA is filed under the name uncultured Glomeromycotina. RNAcentral's name for it is "SSU rRNA". It matches the Rfam family "Eukaryotic small subunit ribosomal RNA", at positions 548 to 1098 of the family's 1831-position model. Lineage: Eukaryota; Fungi; Glomeromycota. The record is from RNAcentral.
UUGGAGGGCAAGUCUGGUGCCAGCAGCCGCGGUAAUUCCAGCUCCAAUAGCGUAUAUUAAAGUUGUUGCAGUUAAAAAGCUCGUAGUUGAAUUUCGGGAUUAGUACGCUGGUCGUGCCUUCGGUACGUACUGGUGUUACUGAUUUCUACCUUCUGACGAACCAUCAUGUCAUUCAUUUGGUGUGGUGGGGAAUCAGGACUGUUACUUUGAAAAAAUUAGAGUGUUUAAAGCAGGCUCGCGCUUGAAUACAUUAGCAUGGAAUAAUGAAGUAGGACGUUGAUCCUAUUUUGUUGGUUUCUAGGAUUGACGUAAUGAUUAAUAGGGAUAGUUGGGGGCAUUAGUAUUCAAUUGUCAGAGGUGAAAUUCUUGGAUUUAUUGAAGGCUAACUACUGCGAAAGCAUUUGCCAAGGAUGUUUUCAUUAAUCAAGAACGAAAGUUAGGGGAUCGAAGACGAUCAGAUACCGUCGUAGUCUUAACCAUAAACUAUGCCGACUAGGGAUCGGAUGAUGUUAAUUUUUUAAUGACUCAUUCGGCGCCUUACGGGAAAC